CCUACGGGAGGCAGCAGUGGGGAAUAUUGCGCAAUGGGCGAAAGCCUGACGCAGCGACGCAGCGUGAGGGACGAAGGCCUUCGGGUUGUAAACCUCUUUCAGCGGGGACGAAGCGAAAGUGACGGUACCCGCAGAAGAAGCACCGGCUAACUACGUGCCAGCAGCCGCGGUAAUACGUAGGGUGCAAGCAUUGUCCGGAUUUAUUGGGCGUAAAGAGCUCGUAGGCGGCUUGUCACGUCGGAUGUGAAAACUCGGGGCUCAACCCCGAGCCUGCAUUCGAUACGGGCUAGCUAGAGUGUUGCAGGGGAGACUGGAAUUCCUGGUGUAGCGGUGAAAUGCGCAGAUAUCAGGAGGAACACCGGUGGCGAAGGCGGGUCUCUGGGCAACUACUGACGCUGAGGAGCGAAAGCGUGGGGAGCGAACAGGAUUAGAUACCCUGGUAGUCCACGCCGUAAACGGUGGGCGCUAGGUGUGGGGAACCUUCCACGUUCUCUGUGCCGUAGCUAACGCAUUAAGCGCCCCGCCUGGGGAGUACGGCCGCAAGGCUAAAACUCAAAUGAAUUGACGG
Molecule: ribosomal RNA, 568 nt
Filed under: uncultured bacterium
Lineage: Bacteria
Description: bacterial SSU rRNA
Rfam family: Bacterial small subunit ribosomal RNA
Source: RNAcentral